This 446-nucleotide ribosomal RNA is filed under the name uncultured bacterium. Its description in RNAcentral is "bacterial SSU rRNA". It matches the Rfam family "Bacterial small subunit ribosomal RNA", at positions 331 to 792 of the family's 1533-position model. The record is from RNAcentral.
CCAGACUCCUACGGGAGGCAGCAGUGGGGAAUAUUGGGCAAUGGGCGCAAGCCUGACCCAGCAACGCCGCGUGAAGGAAGAAGGCUUUCGGGUUGUAAACUUCUUUUAAGAGGGAAGAGAAGAAGACGGUACCUCUUGAAUAAGCCACGGCUAACUACGUGCCAGCAGCCGCGGUAAUACGUAGGUGGCAAGCGUUAUCCGGAUUUAUUGGGUGUAAAGGGCGUGUAGGCGGGAAUGCAAGUCAGAUGUGAAAACUAUGGGCUCAACCCAUAGCCUGCAUUUGAAACUGUAUUUCUUGAGUGCUGGAGAGGCAAUCGGAAUUCCGUGUGUAGCGGUGAAAUGCGUAGAUAUUAGGAGGAACACCAGUGGCGAAGGCGGCCUGCUGGACGACAACUGACGGUGAGGCGCGAAAGCGUGGGGAGCAAACAGGAUUAGAUACCCGAGUA